RNAcentral lists this ribosomal RNA (605 nucleotides) under uncultured Microascus. RNAcentral describes it as "partial 28S ribosomal RNA". It matches the Rfam family "Eukaryotic large subunit ribosomal RNA", at positions 81 to 607 of the family's 3401-position model. The record is from RNAcentral. Lineage: Eukaryota; Fungi; Ascomycota; Sordariomycetes; Microascales; Microascaceae.
CAGUAACGGCGAGUGAAGUGGGAAAGGCUCAAAUUUAAGAUCUGUAAGUUUUAAAUAAUUUAUAGAAUUGUAGUUUGUAGAAGUGUUGAAAACCAUUGAAAAAGGUUUUUUAUUUAUUCUGUAACAGAAACCUUACUGAAGUCCAAGUCCUUUGGAACAAGGCAUCAGAGAGGGUGAGAAUCCCGUUUAAGGCUUUUUUUUUUUCUUUCUUCUCUCGGGGAGAAAGGAAGAGUUUACUGUUACAAUUUCAUAAAUGAUGCACUUUCUAAGAGUCGGGUUGUUUGGGAAUGCAGCCCAAAAUGGGUGGUAAAUUUCAUCUAAAGCUAAAUAAUGGCGAGAGACCGAUAGCGAACAAGUACCGUGAGGGAAAGAUGAAAAGAACUUUGAAAAGAGAGUUAAAAAGUACGCGAAAUUGUUGAAAGGGAAGCGCUUGCGACCAGACUUGCGCCCGUCGGAUCAACCGUCGCUUGUCGGCGGCGCACUCCGGCGGGCUCAGGCCAGCAUCAGUUUUCCCGGGGGGAGAAAGGCGGUGGGAAUGUAGCUCCUAGGAGUGUUAUAGCCCGCCGCGUAAUACCCUCGGGGGGACUGAGGACCGCGCAUCUGCA